GCUGCGAUGCCGGAGUGGUCUAACGGGUGAGACUUGAAUUUAUUCGAAAUCUCAUGUUCUUUGAACGCGCAGGUUCAAAUCCUGUUCGCAGCG
Transfer RNA from Botryobasidium botryosum FD-172 SS1, 93 nucleotides. It matches the Rfam family "tRNA". Rfam says of the family: Transfer RNA (tRNA) molecules are approximately 80 nucleotides in length. Their secondary structure includes four short double-helical elements and three loops (D, anti-codon, and T loops). The record is from Rfam. Lineage: Eukaryota; Fungi; Basidiomycota; Agaricomycetes; Cantharellales; Botryobasidiaceae.